Long non-coding RNA from Musca vetustissima, 161 nucleotides. RefSeq lists it as uncharacterized. The transcript is spliced from 3 exons. The record is from RefSeq and is a predicted model, not a curated record. Lineage: Eukaryota; Metazoa; Arthropoda; Insecta; Diptera; Muscidae.
CGCCAAUAAGUCAUCAAAUAAGUUUGUGGGUCUAACAGAAUUCGAUGAAGCUAAAAUUCCCGAAUUACCAGGAGAUUUAAAUCCCAAUAUUGAAGAACAAUACAAUGUAACUUUCGAAGAAUGUUUUAUACCAACAUUAACAGCAAAGCUGAGUGCAAAAG